This 474-nucleotide ribosomal RNA is filed under the name uncultured organism. Its description in RNAcentral is "partial 16S ribosomal RNA". It matches the Rfam family "Bacterial small subunit ribosomal RNA", at positions 331 to 801 of the family's 1533-position model. The record is from RNAcentral.
GUACACUCCUGCGGGAGGCAACAGUGAGGAAUAUUGGACAAUGGGUGGAAGCCUGAUCCAGCCAUCCCGCGUGCAGGAAGACGGCCCUAUGGGUUGUAAACUGCUUUUAUCUGGGGAUAAACCUACUUACGUGUAAGUAGCUGAAGGUACCAGAAGAAUAAGCACCGGCUAACUCCGUGCCAGCAGCCGCGGUAAUACGGAGGGUGCAAGCGUUAUCCGGAUUUAUUGGGUUUAAAGGGUCCGUAGGCGGACUGAUAAGUCAGUGGUGAAAUCCGACAGCUUAACUGUCGAACUGCCAUUGAUACUGUUAGUCUUGAGUAAGGUUGAAGUGGCUGGAAUAAGUAGUGUAGCGGUGAAAUGCAUAGAUAUUACUUAGAACACCAAUUGCGAAGGCAGGUCACUAAGUCUUAACUGACGCUGAUGGACGAAAGCGUGGGGAGCGAACAGGAUUAGAAACCCGAGUAGUCCCAUGAU